UUUGAUCCUGUUGGAAAAAGACAGAAACUUUUCGCUCACGAGAUGAUUUUUCGUUUUUAUUCAGAAAGAUCUUUUGAGUUGAUUCUUUUUUCUUCUGGUUGAUAUGCCUUUUUCCCAGUCAGCAGUAUUUUUUUAGAAUUUUUGAGGUACCACAAGUAUACGAAGUAUACAUAUUUCUACAGAGUGGUCUGUUUUUGACAGAUUCUAUUUUUGUUGAGUUGGUUGCUUGUUUUGAUGAAACUAUGGAUAGUAUCGGGGGGUACUAGCCAUGGAAAAGUGAGAAUACAGUAGCCCAACACCAAUAUAAAUAGAGUUCAAGUUUGCUACAGUACCAAAAGAGGUGGUAGUUUGUUUUCUUG
This 359-nucleotide long non-coding RNA is filed under the name Hordeum vulgare. Its description in RNAcentral is "long non-coding RNA (HVUL_LNC009062)". Lineage: Eukaryota; Viridiplantae; Streptophyta; Magnoliopsida; Poales; Poaceae. The record is from RNAcentral.